GAUGAAGAACGUAGCGAAAUGCGAUACGUAAUGUGAAUUGCAGAAUUCAGUGAAUCAUCGAAUCUUUGAACGCAUAUUGCGCUCUCUGGUAUUCCGGAGAGCAUGCUUGUUUGAGUAUCAGUAAACACCUCAACUUCCAUAUCUUUUUUUGAAAUGGGAGUUGGACUUGAGUGAUCCCAACGCUUUUCCUCACCGAAAAGUGGCGGGUUACUUGAAAUGCAGGUGCAGCUGGACUUUUCUCUGAGCUAUAAGCAUAUCUAUUUAGUCUGCCUAAAAAACAGAUUAUUACCUUUGCUGCAGCUAACAUAAAGGAGAUUAGUUCUUGUGCUGACUGAUGCAGGAUUCACAAAGACAGCUUCGGCCGACUUUGUAAACUCGAUCUCAAAUCAAGUAAGACUACCCGCUGAACUUAAGCAUAUCAAUAAGCGGAGG
This 432-nucleotide unclassified non-coding RNA is filed under the name soil metagenome. Its description in RNAcentral is "partial contains 5.8S ribosomal RNA, internal transcribed spacer 2, and large subunit ribosomal RNA". The stretch from base 1 to 120 matches the Rfam family "5.8S ribosomal RNA", at positions 35 to 154 of the family's 154-position model. The record is from RNAcentral.